This 242-nucleotide unclassified non-coding RNA is filed under the name Glomeraceae sp. RNAcentral describes it as "partial contains 5.8S ribosomal RNA and internal transcribed spacer 2". The stretch from base 1 to 71 matches the Rfam family "5.8S ribosomal RNA", at positions 84 to 154 of the family's 154-position model. The record is from RNAcentral. Lineage: Eukaryota; Fungi; Glomeromycota; Glomeromycetes; Glomerales; Glomeraceae.
GUGAAUCAUCAAAUUUUUGAACGCAAAUUGCACUCUCUGGUAUUCCGGAGAGUAUGCCUGUUUGAGGGUCAGUUUAAAUAAAAAUCGGAGUGGUUGCUGCCUUUCGUGGUGACGUACAGGAUUUGGGUCGUCUUGCAUCUGGUUAUGAGAAUUAAAAUUUUGCAUGAUUUUUUCGAACGUAUUUAAAUGAUUUUAAGUAAGUUUGAGAUAUCGAAUAUUAGGUGCGGUUAUCAUCUUGUUCC